This 161-nucleotide ribosomal RNA is filed under the name uncultured bacterium. RNAcentral's name for it is "partial 16S rRNA". It matches the Rfam family "Bacterial small subunit ribosomal RNA", at positions 355 to 511 of the family's 1533-position model. The record is from RNAcentral.
UAGGGAAUCUUCCACAAUGGACGCAGCNGAUGGAGCAACGCCGCGUGAGUGAAGAAGGUCUUCGGAUCGUAAAACUCUGUUGUUAGAGAAGAACACGAGUGAGAGUAACUGUUCAUUCGAUGACGGUAUCUAACCAGCAAGUCACGGCUAACUCGUGCCAG